CGGACGGGUGAGUAAUGCUUGGGAAUCUGGCUUAUGGAGGGGGAUAACUACGGGAAACUGUAGCUAAUACCGCGUAAUAUCUUCGGAUUAAAGGGUGGGACUUUCGGGCCACCUGCCAUAAGAUGAGCCCAAGUGGGAUUAGGUAGUUGGUGGGGUAAAGGCCUACCAAGCCGACGAUCUCUAGCUGGUCUGAGAGGAUGACCAGCCACACUGGAACUGAGACACGGUCCAGACUCCUACGGGAGGCAGCAGUGGGGAAUAUUGCACAAUGGGGGGAACCCUGAUGCAGCCAUGCCGCGUGAAUGAAGAAGGCCUUCGGGUUGUAAAGUUCUUUCGGUGAUGAAGAAGGUGUUUGUUUUAAUAGAACAAGCAAUUGACGUUAGUCACAGAAGGAGCACCGGCUAACUCCGUGCCAGCAGCCGCGGUAAUACGGAGGGUGCGAGCGUUAAUCGGAAUGACUGGGCGUAAAGGGCACGCACGCGGUGACUUAAGUGAGAUGUGAAAGCCCCGAGCUUAACUUGGGAAUUGCAUUUCAUACUGGGUUGCUAGAGUAUUUUA
RNAcentral lists this ribosomal RNA (558 nucleotides) under uncultured Actinobacillus sp. RNAcentral describes it as "bacterial SSU rRNA". It matches the Rfam family "Bacterial small subunit ribosomal RNA", at positions 99 to 653 of the family's 1533-position model. The record is from RNAcentral. Lineage: Bacteria; Pseudomonadati; Pseudomonadota; Gammaproteobacteria; Pasteurellales; Pasteurellaceae.